CUUUAGGAUGCACUUUGUUGACGAAGACUUCUCUAAUCUAAAAACCACAAACAAAUGACCUUAGUCCCAAAUGCCCUUAGUCAUUGUUUGUGGACCAUUGCAUGAAUGUCACCCGUCAGGUUCUUUCUGGGUAGGCAGAAACAAUGAGAGGGAGGGAGGAGUGUUGGUAAUUUCAAAAGCUAUAUAACUACAGAGCCCCGGAUACAAAGAUACACCUGCUGAAUUUCCCACUCUCAACUCACACGACGACAGUGACCAUGAAGUUUGCUAUCCUGAUCUGCAUUUCUGUUCUCUUUUACCUCUCUGUGGCAGAAACACAACAGAGCGAGGACAACAAUGUUCCUGAUUUUGGAUGUACUCGUGAGUACAAUCCAGUGUGUGGAGAUGAUGGAGUCACAUACUCCAAUGAGUGUAUGCUACACUGGGAGAGCAAGCAUCGUAACAAGAACGUCAGCCUAAAGCACGUAGGAGUGUGUGAGACCUCCUGAACUCACUGCUGUUACAUCUAUGGCAUCCAAAAUGGCUUUCCAUUUAGAUACUACAGCAACUACGAAUGAUUUUCUGUCAUACGUUAAUCAGUAUCAUAUAAUGACAUAUGCUAUUUAAACUUUUCCAGACAUCACUUUGUCAACAUGUAAUUUCAUGCAAUAAAACAGUUAAGCAUUUAAGAGCUCUAUUUUAUUAAUAAAUAAGAACUGUAAUUUCAAAUAAACCAUAUUUAUAAUCUACAUUUUCUUUCUUUCUGUCCUGAAAAGGACAAC
This 761-nucleotide long non-coding RNA is filed under the name Sinocyclocheilus grahami. Its description in RNAcentral is "lncRNA (ENSSGRG00000052785.1)". The record is from RNAcentral. Lineage: Eukaryota; Metazoa; Chordata; Actinopteri; Cypriniformes; Cyprinidae.